Molecule: ribosomal RNA, 1679 nt
Filed under: Staphylococcus aureus
Lineage: Bacteria; Bacillati; Bacillota; Bacilli; Caryophanales; Staphylococcaceae
Description: partial 23S ribosomal RNA
Rfam family: Bacterial large subunit ribosomal RNA
Source: RNAcentral
GGUGAAAAGCACCCCGGAAGGGGAGUGAAAUAGAACCUGAAACCGUGUGCUUACAAGUAGUCAGAGCCCGUUAAUGGGUGAUGGCGUGCCUUUUGUAGAAUGAACCGGCGAGUUACGAUUUGAUGCAAGGUUAAGCAGUAAAUGUGGAGCCGUAGCGAAAGCGAGUCUGAAUAGGGCGUUUAGUAUUUGGUCGUAGACCCGAAACCAGGUGAUCUACCCUUGGUCAGGUUGAAGUUCAGGUAACACUGAAUGGAGGACCGAACCGACUUACGUUGAAAAGUGAGCGGAUGAACUGAGGGUAGCGGAGAAAUUCCAAUCGAACCUGGAGAUAGCUGGUUCUCUCCGAAAUAGCUUUAGGGCUAGCCUCAAGUGAUGAUUAUUGGAGGUAGAGCACUGUUUGGACGAGGGGCCCCUCUCGGGUUACCGAAUUCAGACAAACUCCGAAUGCCAAUUAAUUUAACUUGGGAGUCAGAACAUGGGUGAUAAGGUCCGUGUUCGAAAGGGAAACAGCCCAGACCACCAGCUAAGGUCCCAAAAUAUAUGUUAAGUGGAAAAGGAUGUGGCGUUGCCCAGACAACUAGGAUGUUGGCUUAGAAGCAGCCAUCAUUUAAAGAGUGCGUAAUAGCUCACUAGUCGAGUGACACUGCGCCGAAAAUGUACCGGGGCUAAACAUAUUACCGAAGCUGUGGAUUGUCCUUUGGACAAUGGUAGGAGAGCGUUCUAAGGGCGUUGAAGCAUGAUCGUAAGGACAUGUGGAGCGCUUAGAAGUGAGAAUGCCGGUGUGAGUAGCGAAAGACGGGUGAGAAUCCCGUCCACCGAUUGACUAAGGUUUCCAGAGGAAGGCUCGUCCGCUCUGGGUUAGUCGGGUCCUAAGCUGAGGCCGACAGGCGUAGGCGAUGGAUAACAGGUUGAUAUUCCUGUACCACCUAUAAUCGUUUUAAUCGAUGGGGGGACGCAGUAGGAUAGGCGAAGCGUGCGAUUGGAUUGCACGUCUAAGCAGUAAGGCUGAGUAUUAGGCAAAUCCGGUACUCGUUAAGGCUGAGCUGUGAUGGGGAGAAGACAUUGUGUCUUCGAGUCGUUGAUUUCACACUGCCGAGAAAAGCCUCUAGAUAGAAAAUAGGUGCCCGUACCGCAAACCGACACAGGUAGUCAAGAUGAGAAUUCUAAGGUGAGCGAGCGAACUCUCGUUAAGGAACUCGGCAAAAUGACCCCGUAACUUCGGGAGAAGGGGUGCUCUUUAGGGUUAACGCCCAGAAGAGCCGCAGUGAAUAGGCCCAAGCGACUGUUUAUCAAAAACACAGGUCUCUGCUAAACCGUAAGGUGAUGUAUAGGGGCUGACGCCUGCCCGGUGCUGGAAGGUUAAGAGGAGUGGUUAGCUUCUGCGAAGCUACGAAUCGAAGCCCCAGUAAACGGCGGCCGUAACUAUAACGGUCCUAAGGUAGCGAAAUUCCUUGUCGGGUAAGUUCCGACCCGCACGAAAGGCGUAACGAUUUGGGCACUGUCUCAACGAGAGACUCGGUGAAAUCAUAGUACCUGUGAAGAUGCAGGUUACCCGCGACAGGACGGAAAGACCCCGUGGAGCUUUACUGUAGCCUGAUAUUGAAAUUCGGCACAGCUUGUACAGGAUAGGUAGGAGCCUUUGAAACGUGAGCGCUAGCUUACGUGGAGGCGCUGGUGGG